RNAcentral lists this ribosomal RNA (811 nucleotides) under uncultured bacterium. RNAcentral's name for it is "bacterial SSU rRNA". It matches the Rfam family "Bacterial small subunit ribosomal RNA", at positions 8 to 806 of the family's 1533-position model. The record is from RNAcentral.
AGAGUUUGAUCCUGGCUCAGAACGAACUUUGGCGGCGCGUUUUAGGCAUGCAAGUCGAGCGGCAGGGGGGCUUCGGUCCCCCGAGAGCGGCGGACGGGUGAUUAACACGUGGACAACCUGCCCCCCGGUUCGGGAUAGCCCAGGGAAACCUGGAUCAAUACCGGAUGCGAGGGCGGCCGCACAAGCGGCCGUCGGGAAAGGCGCUUCGGCGCCGCCGGGGGAUGGGUCCGCGUCCCAUUAGCUAGACGGUGGGGUAACGGCCCACCGUGGCGAUGAUGGGUAGCCGGCCUGAGAGGGUGGACGGCCACAUUGGAACUGAGACACGGUCCAGACUCCUACGGGAGGCAGCAGCUAAUAAUCUUCCGCAAUGGGCGAAAGCCUGACGGAGCGACGCCUCGUGAACGAAGAAGGCCGUGAGGUUGUAAAGUUCUUUUUGGGAGGGGGAACUAGGCUGCCAGGCAAUGGGCGGCCGAUGCACGUGAAUCCCGAAAUAAGCCCCGGCUAAUUACGUGCCACCAGCCGCGGUAACAGGUAGGGGGCGAGCGUUGUUCGAAAUCAUUGGGCGUAAAGGGGGUGCAGGCGGCCGCCAAAUUCCGGCGUGAAAGACCCAGGCUCAACCUGGGGGGUGCGCCGGAUACUGGGCGGCUUGAGUACAGGAGGGGACGGCGGAAUUCCAGGUGUAGGGGUGAAAUCUGUAGAUAUCUGGAGGAACACCGAUGGCGAAGGCAGCCGUCUGGCCAUGUACUGACGCUGAGGCGCGAAGGUGCGGGGAGCAAACAGGUUUAGAUACCCUGGUAGUCCGCACAGUAAA